Molecule: non-coding RNA, 3972 nt
Organism: Oncorhynchus mykiss (rainbow trout)
Lineage: Eukaryota; Metazoa; Chordata; Actinopteri; Salmoniformes; Salmonidae
Source: RefSeq, a predicted model, not a curated record
UCCUCUGCUAUGUCCUGGUCUAGUGCUGAACCCCUCCUCUGCUAUGUCUGUCCUGGUCUAGUGUUGAACCCCUCCUCUGUUAUGUCUGUCCUGGUCUAGUGCUGAACCCCUCCUCUGCUAUGUCCUGGUCUAGUGCUGAACCCCUCCUCUGUUAUGUCUGUCCUGGUCUAGUGCUGAACCCCUCCUCUGCUAUGUCCUGGUCUAGUGCUGAACCCCUCCUCUGCUAUGUCCUGGUCUAGUGCUGAACCCCUCCUCUGCUCUGUCCUGGUCCUCUGUUAUGUCUGUCCUGGUCUAGUGCUGAACCCCUCCUCUGCUAUGUCUGUCCUGGUCUAGAGCUGAACCCCUCCUCUGUUAUGUCCUGGUCUAGUGCUGAACCCCUCCUCUGUUAUGUCUGUCCUGGUCUAGAGAUGAACCCCUCCUGUUAUGUCCUGGUCUAGUGCUGAACCACUCCUCUGUUAUGUCUGUCCUGGUCUAGUGCUGAACCCCUCCUCUGCUCUGUCCUGGUCUAGUGCUGAACCCCUCCUCUGUUAUGUCUGUCCUGGUCUAGAGCUGAACCCCUCCUCUGUUAUGUCUGUCCUGGUCUAGUGCUGAACCCCUCCUCUGUUCUGUUAUGUCUGUCCUGGUCUAGUGCUGAACCCCUCCUCUGCUCUGUCCUGGUCUAGUGCUGAACCCCUCCUCUGCUAUGUCUGUCCUGGUCUAGAGCUGAACCCCUCCUCUGUUAUGUCCUGGUCUAGUGCUGAACCCCUCCUCUGUUAUGUCUGUCCUGGUCUAGAGAUGAACCCCUCCUGUUAUGUCCUGGUCUAGUGCUGAACCCCUCCUCUGUUAUGUCUGUCCUGGUCUAGUGCUGAACCCCUCCUCUGCUAUGUCCUGGUCUAGUGCUGAACCCCUCCUCUGUUAUGUCCUGGUCUAGUGCUGAACCCCUCCUCUGUUAUGUCUGUCCUGGUCUAGUGCUGAACCCCUCCUCUGCUCUGUCCUGGUCUAGUGCUGAACCCCUCCUCUGUUAUGUCUGUCCUGGUCUAGAGCUGAACCCCUCCUCUGUUAUGUCUGUCCUGGUCCAGUGCUGAACCCCUCCUGUUAUGUCCUGGUCCAGUGCUGAACCCCUCCUGUUAUGUCUGUCCUGGUCCUCUGUUAUGUCUGUCCUGGUCUAGUGCUGAACCCCUCCUGUUAUGUCUGUCCUGGUCUAGAGCUGAACCCCUCCUCUGUUAUGUCUGUCCUGGUCUAGAGCUGAACCCCUCCUCUGCUCUGUCCUGGUCUAGUGCUGAACCCCUCCUCUGCUAUGUCUGUCCUGGUCUAGUGCUGAACCCCUCCUCUGCUAUGUCUGUCCUGGUCUAGAGCUGAACCCCUCCUCUGCUAUGUCUGUCCUGGCCCAAACCUGAGAUGAGCUUGAGUCUAUCCCUGGGGAGGGUCUUACUGCAGAACACAGUACAAGCAGACCAGUUAGACAUCUCCUCCUUCACUACAGUGGCUCCUCUCUGCUGCUGGUAUCUGAGACUGAACUUGAAGACGAUGAUUCCCCAGUGAGGCUGUGUUCACAGCCAGGAGCGUUCCUAAUUGUUGCUAAAUGUUCUGCUGUGUUGCACACACUCUCUCUCACCCCUCGAACCUGCUCCCCUUCCCGAACAUUGUGUCCACACUACUUAAGAACUGUCUCUCUGCCUUCAAGCAACAAAAAAAAACAAUGUUUUGGUUUUCAUUUUGCUAACCAAGGUGAGGUUGAAACAUCCAGCUAACCUGAUGCUCGCUGGUUUCAGCUCAGACCAGGGCCGUAUUCAUUAGGCACCGAACUGAAGAAAACGUGACGGGGACUAGCUGAGCCAUCUCGGAAAAACAAACUUGUUUUCCUCUUCCACUGCGAAACAUUUUGCUUCGGUGUUCCCGGAUGAACAUGACCCCAGCUCUAUGGGAUGUGAAAUGCUAAAACACUGAAAACAGAAGAAUUGGCUAAUGUUUCACUGACCAAAGCAAACGUUUAACCUGAUCCCAGAUCUGUUCGUGCUCAUGCCAACUUCAUUGCUAUUAGUCAAGCCAAUUAUUUUUGGCAUGACUAUGAGUGACAAGGAGUUGUCAUGGUGACACAAACAGACUGGCACUCAGGCUAAGCUAGGUCCUAUUUAUAGAGUUCUCGGCUUUGUAUCUGUCCCAUUAUGGCAUCAGUGACAGCAUGAGCAGCACCAUUGAGGCUAUCACCAUUUUAAAGUAGUACAUUUUCUUUUUUUUUAUGUUUGAAAAAGUGUAUCGCUAAUAUUAGUGAUUUACCUCCACCUGCAUUGCCCGGGGUCUUGAACCAAAUCUUGUCAUUCAUUUGUUGUGCCAUUUACAAAACUAAGCAAACCAAUUUGAAGAAGACGAUGCUCUCUGAUCAUUGACCGAUCGCUCCCAUCUCAUAGGAAUCGCUGUCCAGUUGACUACUUUAAAAUGGUGGAAGCGCUCCGUGGCAAAGUCCAAGCAAAUAGUGUUAUUUCCCAAGUAAUGAUCUCUCUCCAUCUCUAUGGUCCUGUCCCAGUUCACGUCGAUCAGUGAACAACGUGAGUGUGGGUCGAACAAAGCAGGAAAUCAGCCUUUGUAUUAACACAUGGAUUUACAGGGAAAUCCUUCAAAUUAUGCAAAUUAGCCGGUAAAAUCUAAUUUAGUUUUUGUGCCGACGCGUUAAAACCAGAUGAGCGUUUUGUGAAAAAAAGGAAAAGGGAAAACGCAUUGCAAUGCAGUCUGUCUGUUUAAAGGCUUUAGUUGUUUUGUUCUCACCCUGCUGCAAGGUUAGGGUUAGGGUUCUCACCCUGCUCGCUGCUGGUUUAUAGCAAACUGAUUUAUCGGUCAAAAAUACUAUUUUGACUUUUUAAAAUGUGUGAAAUGUCAAACUUUUUGAUGGAUUUUGCAAUAGACCAUUUGAUGAGCACAGACUAAGUGAAACUCCUCUUUUACACACACACACACACACACUUCCUUCUCUGUUCUUCUUCUCUAUGAUAUCCAGUUUGUUUUCUCUGUUGGUGAAGGGUGUCUGUCUGUUUCUCAGGUGGCACCCUAUUCCCUAUAUAAUACACUACAUUUGACCAGGACCUCUGGCCGUUUGGGAUCACACCCGUAACUGAUCACACCGUAACUGAUCACACCCGUCCUGAUCACACCGUAACUGAUCACACCGUAACUGAUCACACCGUAACUGAUCACACCGUAACUGAUCACACCGUAACUGAUCACACCGUAACUGAUCACACCGUAACUGAUCACACCGUAACUGAUCACACCGUAACUGAUCACACCGGUAACUGAUCACACCCGUAACUGAUCACACCCGUAACUGAUCACACCCGUAACUGAUCACACCGUAACUGAUCACACCGUAACUGAUCACACCGUAACUGAUCACACCGUAACUGAUCACACCCGUCCUGAUCACACCGUAACUGAUCACACCGUAACUGAUCACACCCGUAACUGAUCACACCGUAACUGAUCACACCGUAACUGAUCACACCCGUAACUGAUCACACCCGUAACUGAUCACACCCGUAACUGAUCACACCGUAACUGAUCACACCGUGACUGAUCACACCGUAACUGGAAACAGCCAGAUAUGACUCUACAUGUUGUAGAUGAAGGUGUUGCUGUCUGGCUCUCUAUUCCCUCCGUACUCCACUACUGGUUUGACUCCCUAUUGGCACUUAAUGUUCUGUUACUUGAUAAAGGAAUGAAUCACUGUCCGUUACUCGAUUUGAAGAUCUAAAUGAUGUUUGUUUUUUGUUAUCGUUGAAAGAGGGAAGUGUAGAAUACCGGACUGAGCAGUCUUCUAGGUUUUGUUAAAACGCCAAAGGUGUUGUUCCUCUGAUAUUUGGGGAAAACAAAAAUAAAAAGGAAUCAUUCCUGUGUAAACAAAGCCAGGAGCGUAUUUGUGGGCAGGGCUGACUUCCAGUGGCUGGUUCCAUGCACAGUGAUUGGCCAGGAUAACUAGGUCAGGUGUACCGAUUGGACACA